UUUAACCAUUUUAACCUUUUUCUAAAAUGUAACUAAUUUUUGCUUAUGGUAUGGUUUGUAUAAGGUUGCAACCUUAAUUUUGGUUUUAAAAAUUUUUUAAAAUUAUUUAAAAAUCUAUUUUCAUAUCUAAUCUUAAAAUUUUAAACUCUAUAAAUAGUUAAAAUCAAGUAAAUCUAGAAACAUACGAAAAUACUAUUUCUGAGACUUAAUUUUUUUUUUGGUAGUUCAUUUAUUUAUUUCCUGACAUUUUCAUUGUAGUUAACGUGGUCAGGUGAUCGUUACUUGGUUAUCAAGGAUUAGGGUUUGUGAAAAUGCCAAUUUCUUUUCUGUUCGCUGUGUCAUCGGCUGAUAGAGCUCGCAUACCUUCUUUUGCUUCACUGUAAGUUGCUGAUACGAAUUGAGAUGUUAAACCUUAUAAUGUCUAAAUUUACCUGUAAAUAGUAAGAUUUCUUUGCACAUUCAUCAUGUUCUUCUUUUUUUUGCACAUUAUGCUCAUUUUUUGGGUUCGAUUAUUAUGUAAUUUUUUACUUUUAACGGCUAGUUUAAUGGUAGAAAAGUACUAGGGCCUUUUACAUUUGCAUCAUUUCUGUCUGAUUUCAAGCAGAAGUUAGUAAAAUUAAGGUAUACCAGUAUGAAUGUUUAUGCCAUGAUUUGUAUUGCCUUCACACAAAAUUCGCCCCCAACUUCGAUUUUUUUUUUUUUUUCAUUACUUAAUGGUUUGUCUACCGCGUAAACCAUAUCAAUCAUAUAUGUUCACCUAUAACUGAAAGUAUGGUUCUAUGCGGAAAACUCAUUCUUUUAUUAUUGCCCAUUGUUGGAUUUGACAGGGACAAGAAUUAGCUUGCCUUUUCAUGAGGAUUCGAAGAAGAUCUUCACUUUUUGUUUCAUACUUAAUAACAAUGAGUUUUAUAGAUGUUGUGGUG
This 923-nucleotide long non-coding RNA is filed under the name Amborella trichopoda. Its description in RNAcentral is "long non-coding RNA (ATRI_LNC005224)". The record is from RNAcentral. Lineage: Eukaryota; Viridiplantae; Streptophyta; Magnoliopsida; Amborellales; Amborellaceae.